GGCCACCUGCUGUGCGGUUCUGAGGGCUUCCGCGGUUCUGAGGGCUUCCGCGUCCCUGCCAUGCCCAUCUUGGGGCUUCAGAAGCCAACACGAUGGUUUUCGGGCUCACAUCCCAAAGGCUGCUCUUCCUUUUAGCACCUGGGACCUACCAGGAACCUCAACCUCUAACAACAUUGGUCCCCGUUACCGUGGAGUUUGCGCCCAGCGUUCGCUGGAGGGCCGUUUGAAGAAUGAUUGUUGUCGUAAAGGCCUUUGAUAAUAAUAGAUACUGUUUACCCAGUGCUUGAUGCCAGGCAUUGCUACAAACACUGCGUACACAUUAUUCUAUUUAAUCUUCAUAACCCAGUGAGGAUAUCAACCAGGAUAUGGCAUUGCAUUGGAUCCCAACCAGGAUAUGACGUUACAUUGGAUCCCAACCAGGAUAUGGCAUUGCACUGGAUCCCAACCAGGAUAUGGCAUUGCACUGGAUCCCAACCAGGAUAUGGCAUUGCGUUGGAUCCCAACCAGGUUAUGGCAUUACAUUGGAUCCCAACCAGGUUAUGGCAUUGCAUUGGAUCCCAACCAGGAUAUGACAUUGCAUUUACUCAUCACGCCUCCUUAGGUUCCUCUUGGCUGUGACGGUUUCUCAGACUAUCCUUGUUUUUUAGGACCUUGACAGUUUUGAGGCAUACUGGUAUUGGAAAACCCAAGCAUUGACUCUCCAGACCAGCCUCGCACCUAAGAACGCCGUGGGAUGCAGUUUCAGACAGUGAGAAAUCUGCUGGGGAUGCCUGGGAAAGGGACAUACCUGGCAGGUGCCGCUCCAUGGCCUUCUUGCUGCCUUGAAUUGGGACAUGAGCCUGAGUCGCAGCAGCCGUCUUGUGACUGAGAGGUGGCAAGCAGGAGGAAGAGGCUAAGAGAAUAGAGACACUGUUGAGCUGCUGAAGCACAGCAAGCGGCCACUUCUCUAUGCUUCUUGCUAUUUGACUGUUAAGCUAGUGCAAGUUACUUUUCUGGUCAGAAUGAAUUCAUAACUGAAACAUGCUUUAAAGUAUGACUAUUAUUAUUAAAUGCAGCAUAAGCUUUCCAUAGCUGCUACACGAUCACACCCACUGCUGUCUCAGACUGACCAGUGGCCGACUAAACAUGACAGCAAGUACUGUUGCCAGCCUCUGCCUUCUUAUACUUGUGGAGUUUGUUUAAAUCUAAAUUCAGGACUCACCCUGUUAAAUUU
Molecule: long non-coding RNA, 1213 nt
Organism: Homo sapiens (human)
Lineage: Eukaryota; Metazoa; Chordata; Mammalia; Primates; Hominidae
Source: Ensembl